GACCAUGUGGCCUAAUGGAUCAGGUGUCUGACUUCGGAUCAGAAGAUUGAGGGUUUGAGUCCCUUCAUGGUUG
This 73-nucleotide transfer RNA is filed under the name Alligator mississippiensis (American alligator). It matches the Rfam family "tRNA". From Rfam's summary of the family: Transfer RNA (tRNA) molecules are approximately 80 nucleotides in length. Their secondary structure includes four short double-helical elements and three loops (D, anti-codon, and T loops). Further hydrogen bonds mediate the characteristic L-shaped molecular structure. tRNAs have two regions of fundamental functional importance: the anti-codon, which is responsible for specific mRNA codon recognition, and the 3' end, to which the tRNAs corresponding amino acid is attached (by aminoacyl-tRNA synthetases). tRNAs cope with the degeneracy of the genetic code in two manners: having more than one tRNA (with a specific anti-codon) for a particular amino acid; and 'wobble' base-pairing, i.e. permitting non-standard base-pairing at the 3rd anti-codon position. Lineage: Eukaryota; Metazoa; Chordata; Crocodylia; Alligatoridae. The record is from Rfam by way of RNAcentral.